CCGGAGCUAACGCGUUAAGUAGACCGCCUGGGGAGUACGGCCGCAAGGUUAAAACUCAAAUGAAUUGACGGGGGCCCGCACAAGCGGUGGAGCAUGUGGUUUAAUUCGAUGCAACGCGAAGAACCUUACCUGGUCUUGACAUCCACAGAAGUUUGCAGAGAUGCGAAUGUGCCUUCGGGAACUGUGAGACAGGUGCUGCAUGGCUGUCGUCAGCUCGUGUUGUGAAAUGUUGGGUUAAGUCCCGCAACGAGCGCAACCCUUAUCCUUUGUUGCCAGCGGUUAGGCCGGGAACUCAAAGGAGACUGCCAGUGAUAAACUGGAGGAAGGUGGGGAUGACGUCAAGUCAUCAUGGCCCUUACGACCAGGGCUACACACGUGCUACAAUGGCGCAUACAAAGAGAAGCGACCUCGCGAGAGCAAGCGGACCUCAUAAAGUGCGUCGUAGUCCGGAUUGGAGUCUGCAACUCGACUCCAUGAAGUCGGAAUCGCUAGUAAUCGUGGAUCAGAAUGCCACGGUGAAUACGUUCCCGGGCCUUGUACACACCGCCCGUCACACCAUGGGAGUGGGUUGCAAAAGAAGUAGGUAGCUUAACCUUCGGGAGGGCGCUUACCACUUUGUGAUUCAUGACUGGGGUGAAGUCGUAACAAGGUAACCGUAGGGGAACCUGCGGUUGGAUC
This 678-nucleotide ribosomal RNA is filed under the name Salmonella enterica subsp. enterica serovar Infantis. RNAcentral describes it as "bacterial SSU rRNA". It matches the Rfam family "Bacterial small subunit ribosomal RNA", at positions 846 to 1524 of the family's 1533-position model. The record is from RNAcentral. Lineage: Bacteria; Pseudomonadati; Pseudomonadota; Gammaproteobacteria; Enterobacterales; Enterobacteriaceae.